RNAcentral lists this unclassified non-coding RNA (612 nucleotides) under Hevea brasiliensis (rubber tree). The record is from RNAcentral. Lineage: Eukaryota; Viridiplantae; Streptophyta; Magnoliopsida; Malpighiales; Euphorbiaceae.
AAUCGGAGAAAAAAAAAUUUCGGAGUUGAGAAUUAAAUUAAAGAACUGAUAGAAAAAAAUAAAUAAAUAAAGGAGAGCAAUGAUGUGGUACCUUUCAACCAAACAAGCAUUCCAGACACAACAUCACUGUGAAUGGAAAAGCGAACACAUAUAUGAGAAUGCACAAAAGAUAAAAAUAUUUACGUCAGAAGUUGCUUUCUUUGCAUAUAACAACUCAUUAAUUUCACAAGCAUCAACGUGGCAGCUUGACAUAUUUUAGGGUUCUACCCUGAAGUCAUACAGCUUGAGUGAUGGCUUCAUUGGAGCUGCAGCACUUUGACCUACUCAACUAAUGACAAGUGGAAUAGUUAGGUAAAGGUCGUUUUUCUCAUGCCACCAGUCUAACCUACUCUUUCCUCUGGUUCAAUCAAAACCCACUCUUUUAUGCCACUCAUAGGUAAAAGAUUCAUGUAAUAGAGUAUAGAGCUCUAAAAGAUAAUAAAAAUAAUCAUUUCCGUUUUAUCUCCCACAAAAUCCUACCUCCCUAACACAUGCUAUCGUGUGUGCAUAUGCCCCUGCCACGUUAUAAUGCUUGAACAUUUUUAACCUGACCGUGAAAUAAUUACAAGAAAG